Molecule: ribosomal RNA, 492 nt
Filed under: uncultured bacterium
Lineage: Bacteria
Description: bacterial SSU rRNA
Rfam family: Bacterial small subunit ribosomal RNA
Source: RNAcentral
GAUGAACGCUAGCUACAGGCUUAACACAUGCAAGUCGAGGGGAAACGACAUCGAAAGCUUGCUUUUGGUGGGCGUCGACCGGCGCACGGGUGAGUAACGCGUAUCCAACCUGCCCACCACUUGGGGAUAACCUUGCGAAAGUAAGACUAAUACCCAAUGAUAUCCCACGAAGGCAUCCGAAUGGGAUUAAAGAUUUAUCGGUGAUGGAUGGGGAUGCGUCUGAUUAGCUUGUUGGCGGGGUAACGGCCCACCAAGGCUACGAUCAGUAGGGGUUCUGAGAGGAAGGUCCCCCACAUUGGAACUGAGACACGGUCCAAACUCCUACGGGAGGCAGCAGUGAGGAAUAUUGGUCAAUGGACGGAAGUCUGAACCAGCCAAGUAGCGUGCAGGAAGACGGCCCUAUGGGUUGUAAACUGCUUUUAUGUGGGAAUCAAGUGAGGGACGUGUGGUUUUUUGCAUGUACCCUAUGAAUAAGGACCGGCUAAUUCCGUG